This 753-nucleotide ribosomal RNA is filed under the name uncultured bacterium. RNAcentral describes it as "bacterial SSU rRNA". It matches the Rfam family "Bacterial small subunit ribosomal RNA", at positions 33 to 773 of the family's 1533-position model. The record is from RNAcentral.
ACGCUGGGCGGCAGGCCUAACACAUGCAAGUCGAGCGGUAGCACAGGAGAGCUUGCUCUCUGGGUGACGAGCGGCGGACGGGUGAGUAAUGUCUGGGAAACUGCCUGAUGGAGGGGGAUAACUACUGGAAACGGUAGCUAAUACCGCAUGACCUCGCAAGAGCAAAGUGGGGGACCUUCGGGCCUCACGCCAUCGGAUGUGCCCAGAUGGGAUUAGCUAGUAGGUGGGGUAAUGGCUCACCUAGGCGACGAUCCCUAGCUGGUCUGAGAGGAUGACCAGCCACACUGGAACUGAGACACGGUCCAGACUCCUACGGGAGGCAGCAGUGGGGAAUAUUGCACAAUGGGCGCAAGCCUGAUGCAGCCAUGCCGCGUGUGUGAAGAAGGCCUUAGGGUUGUAAAGCACUUUCAGCGAGGAGGAAGGGUUCAGUGUUAAUAGCACUGUACAUUGACGUUACUCGCAGAAGAAGCACCGGCUAACUCCGUGCCAGCAGCCGCGGUAAUACGGAGGGUGCAAGCGUUAAUCGGAAUUACUGGGGCGUAAAGCGCACGCAGGCGGUUUGUUAAGUCAGAUGUGAAAUCCCCGAGCUUAACUUGGGAACUGCAUUUGAAACUGGCAAGCUAGAGUCUUGUAGAGGGGGGUAGAAUUCCAGGUGUAGCGGUGAAAUGCGUAGAGAUCUGGAGGAAUACCGGUGGCGAAGGCGGCCCCCUGGACAAAGACUGACGCUCAGGUGCGAAAGCGUGGGGAGCAAAC